RNAcentral lists this long non-coding RNA (471 nucleotides) under Setaria viridis. RNAcentral describes it as "long non-coding RNA (SVIR_LNC002027)". The record is from RNAcentral. Lineage: Eukaryota; Viridiplantae; Streptophyta; Magnoliopsida; Poales; Poaceae.
GACUGGGCCUCAUAUCGUGGCUAGUGGGCCUUACUUACCAUCCUGCAGGUGGCCAUCCUUUUGCCAUCCCCUGGCCUUUAUGACCUAAUGGCCGGAUGGACCUACCUAGCGGGUCCUCCGCCCAAAAUUUGGGUGCGUUUGCUAACCGGGAAUUAGUGGUGGGAGUUGGCAGAAGGAAUUCAUUUGAAAAUAUAAUUUUUAGUCCUAUUUCCUUAUUUGUCUUUCGUAGGGAAUUAAAAGUGGGAGUUUAUGUGAGGCUUGGUAUCCUUUGUUUGGUACGAGGGUUUAGAGGUGGGAAAUUAUAUUCAAGUCAUGAUUAAUAGUGUAGAUGCAUCUAUCUUCCACUUAAAAUAAAUUCCCACCGAAUUUCCACCCCCACCUGGAAGUGAUUGGUGGGAGUUGCUCCUCUAAACUCCAAUUCCUCAUCUCAUUAAAACUUCUAUGCCCACUAAACAAACAAUAGAAUUUCCC